CUGGUUAAACAGAAUUUUACAGCGAAGUGAGCCAUUCCUAUCACAUGAGAAAUGCAAAACCAUAGGGCUGACUCCCUGGCCUAGUGGUUAAGUUCCAUGUGUUUUGCUUUGGUGGCCUGGGUUCAGUUCCCAGGUGCAGACCUACACUGCUCGUUGGCAGCCAUGCUGUGGUGGCAACCCACUUACAAAAUAGAAGAAGACUGGCAUAGAUGUUUGCUCAGGGCAUAUCUUCCUCAGCAAAAAAAGAAAGAAAGAAAGAAAGAAAUGCAAAACCAGGAAGAGAAAAGGGAUAAAUAGAAACAUACAGCCAUUUGAUAACAACACAAGGUUGGACACAUUAACAUACACUUUAAGCAAUAUUUUAUUGUAGUGGAUUGAUCUAACUACAUUCAAUUAUCAAAACUAAAAGAAAGGAAUCAGAAGCACCCAGCACAGAAUUUCACGGGAAACUCAACAGCUGAAAUCUCAAACAUAACAGGAUUCCUUCACUUAUUCUCACGCACAGUCUGCACCAGCAUAUGAGAAUCUAGUAAUUCCAAGCAGAGGUGCUCUUAGUGUAAAGGGUAGGCUUUAGGGGAAGGAGAAGAGAUUUGGAGUUGCAGGCAGAGACUCUGAACUGAUAUUUUAGAUUAAAACUCUCAGGACAUUCAAUUUUCUUCCAAAUACUUGGAGCAGCUCAUCAAUCAGCACAGCGCUCCAGUCUGAAAACCAAAGCAUCCGCUAUAUAAUUUCACUCUGUGAAGGCCACUCAAGGACAGAACUCAGAACCCGUGUUUCCACAAAGCACCAAAAUUCAAAAGCUGCUACUGAUUUCUUCACUGUUCUAUGUUAGCAGUAACAUAUAUGCUAUAAUUCUAACCCUUAUAAGUAAUCACACCAUUCUUUUCCCAACAGUAAAGUGAAGUUAUCAAAUUUAUGUUAGAGGUCUAGAGGUCAGCUAAUAAAAAUCAAUUUGCCAACAUUAUGGGUGACAUAAACCACGUAUGAUCAAUUGCUUAGGGCUACUGCGUGUACACAGUUCACUGGACGAAAUUUAGGAAACUGGCUCUUUGGUUUCUGUACUUUCCGUAAUAAGAAUCUCAUUCUUUCUUCCACUACAAACUUGGACGUUUUGCGUUUUUUUUUAACAAGUUGUGAAAUAUGCUCCUAAAAUAGUUUAAUUUCUGUUUUAGAAAUCUAUCUUCCAACACUUUUAAAAUCUCACUGGUUAAUUACACUAGUUGAACAAAAAUUCAACACGAAAUGUACAUUGGUAUCUACCUCUACCUGAUGUUAAUUAUCUUGGAAAUUGAAAUCAACAAGCACACAGCACAAAAGUAAAGGUAUCUUACAGCUCCCAUGUUUUUUUGUGUGAGUCAUCUAAGCCGUACUCUUAACACCCAGUUUGUCUCAUAAGCACGUUUGUCAAUACUGAUAAGAACCAUCAGAGGGGAUGGUAAAUAAAAGAUGACGGCAACUUUAACAGCUAGGAAAAGAGUUGAAUUCUAUGCCCCCAAAUUUGCAAAGUCCUCCACGGCAAGAUCAGCCAUCAAAAUUCUCAGUAUGCAAUCAUUUCCUG
Equus caballus (horse) is the source of this 1558-nucleotide long non-coding RNA. The record is from Ensembl. NCBI's taxonomy places the organism in Eukaryota, Metazoa, Chordata, Mammalia, Perissodactyla, Equidae.